This 29-nucleotide non-coding RNA is filed under the name Mus musculus (house mouse). Lineage: Eukaryota; Metazoa; Chordata; Mammalia; Rodentia; Muridae. The record is from RNAcentral.
UGCCAUUUACUCUACAUUCCUCUCUGUUU